This 254-nucleotide ribosomal RNA is filed under the name uncultured bacterium. RNAcentral's name for it is "partial 16S ribosomal RNA". It matches the Rfam family "Bacterial small subunit ribosomal RNA", at positions 524 to 776 of the family's 1533-position model. The record is from RNAcentral.
CACGUAGGCACCAAGCGUUGUCCGGAUUUAUUGGGCGUAAAGAGCUCGUAGGCGGUUCGGUAAGUCGGGUGUGAAAACUCUGGGCUCAACCCAGAGCCGCCACCCGAUACUGCUGUGACUUGAGUUCGGUAGGGGAGCGGGGAAUUCCUGGUGUAGCGGUGAAAUGCGUAGAUAUCAGGAGGAACACCGGUGGCGAAGGCGGCCCUCUGGACGGUGACUGACGCUGAGACGCGAAAGCGUGGGGAGCAAACAGG